UGGGGAAUUUUGGACAAUGGGCGAAAGCCUGAUCCAGCGAUGCCGCGUGUGUGAAGAAGGCCUUCGGGUUGUAAAGCACUUUUGUCCGGAAAGAAAUCCUUGGCUCUAAUACAGUCGGGGGAUGACGGUACCGGAAGAAUAAGCACCGGCUAACUACGUGCCAGCAGCCGCGGUAAUACGUAGGGUGCAAGCGUUAAUCGGAAUUACUGGGCGUAAAGCGUGCGCAGGCGGUUUGCUAAGACCGAUGUGAAAUCCCCGGGCUCAACCUGGGAACUGCAUUGGUGACUGGCAGGCUAGAGUAUGGCAGAGGGGGGUAGAAUUCCACGUGUAGCAGUGAAAUGCGUAGAGAUGUGGAGGAAUACCGAUGGCGAAGGCAGCCCCCUGGGCCAAUACUGACGCUCAUGCACGAAAGCGUGGGGAGCAAAACAGGAUUAGAUACCCUGGUAGUCCACGCCCUAAACGAUGUCAACUAGUUGUUGGGGAUUCAUUUCCUAGUAACGUAGCUAACGCGUGAAGUUGACCGCCUGGGGAGUACGGUCGCAAGAUU
Molecule: ribosomal RNA, 547 nt
Filed under: uncultured bacterium
Lineage: Bacteria
Description: partial 16S ribosomal RNA
Rfam family: Bacterial small subunit ribosomal RNA
Source: RNAcentral